AGCGAACGCUGGCGGCAGGCCUAACACAUGCAAGUCGAACGGAUCCUUCGGGAUUAGUGGCGGACGGGUGAGUAACACGUGGGAACGUGCCCUUUGGUUCGGAACAACUCAGGGAAACUUGAGCUAAUACCGGAUGUGCCCUUCGGGGGAAAGAUUUAUCGCCAUUGGAGCGGCCCGCGUCUGAUUAGCUAGUUGGUGAGGUAACGGCCCACCAAGGCGACGAUCAGUAGCUGGUCUGAGAGGAUGAUCAGCCACACUGGGACUGAGACGCGGCCCAGACUCCUACGGGAGGCAGCAGUGGGGAAUCUUGCGCAAUGGGCGAAAGCCUGACGCAGCCAUGCCGCGUGAAUGAUGAAGGUCUUAGGAUUGUAAAAUUCUUUCAGCGGGGACGAUAAUGACGGUACCCGCAGAAGAAGCUCCGGCUAACUUCGUG
This 433-nucleotide ribosomal RNA is filed under the name uncultured bacterium. RNAcentral's name for it is "partial 16S ribosomal RNA". It matches the Rfam family "Bacterial small subunit ribosomal RNA", at positions 29 to 507 of the family's 1533-position model. The record is from RNAcentral.